RNAcentral lists this ribosomal RNA (466 nucleotides) under uncultured bacterium. RNAcentral's name for it is "partial 16S ribosomal RNA". It matches the Rfam family "Bacterial small subunit ribosomal RNA", at positions 28 to 507 of the family's 1533-position model. The record is from RNAcentral.
GAUGAACGCUGGCGGCGUGCUUAACACAUGCAAGUCGAACGAUGAAGCCCAGCUUGCUGGGUGGAUUAGUGGCGAACGGGUGAGUAACACGUGAGUAACCUGCCCUUAACUCUGGGAUAAGCCUGGGAAACUGGGUCUAAUACCGGAUAGGAGCGUCCACCGCAUGGUGGGUGUUGGAAAGAUUUAUCGGUUUUGGAUGGACUCGCGGCCUAUCAGCUUGUUGGUGAGGUAAUGGCUCACCAAGGCGACGACGGGUAGCCGGCCUGAGAGGGUGACCGGCCACACUGGGACUGAGACACGGCCCAGACUCCAACGGGAGGCAGCAGUGGGGAAUAUUGCACAAUGGGCGCAAGCCUGAUGCAGCGACGCCGCGUGAGGGAUGACGGCCUUCGGGUUGUAAACCUCUUUCAGUAGGGAAGAAGCGAAAGUGACGGUACCUGCAGAAGAAGCACCGGCUAACUACGUG